GAUCAUGGCUCAGGACGAACGCUGGCGGCGUGCUUAACACAUGCAAGUCGAACGAAGCGAUUUAACGGAAGCCUUCGGGCGGAAGAUAAAUUGACUUAGUGGCGGACGGGUGAGUAACGCGUGAGCAACCUGCCCAUAAGAGGGGGAUAACAGUUGGAAACGACUGCUAAUACCGCAUAAGACCACAUUACCGCAUGGUAAAGGGGUCAAAGAAAUUCGCUUAUGGAUGGGCUCGCGUCCCAUUAGGUAGUUGG
Molecule: ribosomal RNA, 254 nt
Filed under: uncultured bacterium
Lineage: Bacteria
Description: partial 16S ribosomal RNA
Rfam family: Bacterial small subunit ribosomal RNA
Source: RNAcentral